GACGAACGCUGGCGGCGUGCUUAACACAUGCAAGUCGAACGAAGUGGCGAACGGGUGAGUAACGCGUAAUCAACCGGCCCUUCAGGGGGGGACAACAGUUGGAAACGACUGCUAAUACCGAAUACUGAAGGAGGGGAUGGCGGGUGAGUAGCUAGGUGGGGGGGUAACGGCCCACCAAGGCGAUGGGCAGUAGCCGGUCUGAGAGGCUUACUGGGCACAUUGGGACUGAGACACGGGCCAGAAUCCUUCGGGAGGCAGCAGUGGGGAAUCUUCCGAAAUGGACGAAAGUCCGACGGAGCAACGCCGCGUGAGUGAUGACGGCCUUCGGGUUGUAAAGCUCUGUUAAUCGGGACGCGGUACCGGAAUAGAAAGCCACGGCUAACUACGUGCCAGCAGCCGCGGUAAUUC
Molecule: ribosomal RNA, 408 nt
Filed under: uncultured bacterium
Lineage: Bacteria
Description: partial 16S ribosomal RNA
Rfam family: Bacterial small subunit ribosomal RNA
Source: RNAcentral